This 558-nucleotide ribosomal RNA is filed under the name uncultured Bacteroidota bacterium. RNAcentral's name for it is "bacterial SSU rRNA". It matches the Rfam family "Bacterial small subunit ribosomal RNA", at positions 356 to 912 of the family's 1533-position model. Lineage: Bacteria; Pseudomonadati; Bacteroidota. The record is from RNAcentral.
AAGGAAUAUUGGACAAUGCCCGCAAGGGUGAUCCAGCCAUGCCGCGUGCAGGAAGACGGCCCUAUGGGUUGUAAACUGCUUUUAUACCGGAGAAAACCCCCUCUCGUGAGAGGGGCUGAUAGUAUGGUAAGAAUAAGCAUCGGCUAACUUCGUGCCAGCAGCCGCGGUAAGACGAAGGAUGCAAGCGUUAUCCGGAUUCAUUGGGUUUAAAGGGAGCGUAGGUGGCCUUAUAAGUCAGUGGUGAAAUCUCUCGGCUUAACCGAGAAAUUGCCAUUGAUACUGUAGGGCUUGAGUAUAGUUGCCGUUGGCGGAGUAUGACAUGUAGUGGUGAAAUACAUAGAGAUGUCAUAGAACACCGAUUGCGAAGGCAGCUAACGAAACUAUAACUGACACUGAGGCUCGAAAGUGCGGGGGAUCACACAGGAUUUAGAUACCCUGGUAGUCCACGCCCUAAACGAUGGAUACUCGACAUACGCGAUACACAGUGUGUGUCUGAGCGAAAGCAUUUAAGUAUCCCGCCUGGGAAGUACGACCGCAAGGUUGAACUCAAAGGAAUUG